Molecule: ribosomal RNA, 395 nt
Filed under: uncultured bacterium
Lineage: Bacteria
Description: bacterial SSU rRNA
Rfam family: Bacterial small subunit ribosomal RNA
Source: RNAcentral
AGCGAACGUUAGCGGCAGGCUUAACACAUGCAAGUCGAGCGCGAAAGAGGGCUUCGGCCCUCGAGUAAAGCGGCGUACGGGUGAGUAACACGUGGAUAAUCUGCCCUCCGGUGGGGGACAACAACCCGAAAGGGUUGCUAAUACCGCAUUCGUCGGCGAGCUCUGCGGAGCACGUCGGGAAAGGUGCCCUCUACUUAUAAGGUACCGCCGGAGGAGGAGUCCGCGUCCCAUCAGCUAGUUGGAGGGUAACGGCCUACCAAGGCUAAGACGGGUAGCUGGUCUGAGGGGAUGAUCAGCCACACUGGGACUGAGACACGGCCCAGACUCCUACGGGAGGCAGCAGUGGGGAAUAUUGGACAAUGGGCGCAAGCCUGAUCCAGCCAUGCCGCGUGAGU